Molecule: long non-coding RNA, 1725 nt
Organism: Drosophila sechellia
Lineage: Eukaryota; Metazoa; Arthropoda; Insecta; Diptera; Drosophilidae
Exons: 4
Source: RefSeq, a predicted model, not a curated record
GCAGACAAGCAGCGCAGACGGCGGCGGCGUCAGCUGAGGCAGAACAACAACAACAAUGGAAAGCGUACCAAAAAAAACAAAUAAAACAAAAACACACACAGUUGUUCGCUUACUUUACAGUCGAAACAUAUAUCGUGUGUAAAACUUAAAUCUGGCAUUGCUGAUAUUCUUCGAGCUGCCGUAUUAACAUAAGGAUCAAACGGCUAAUUGAUUGAAAUGGUUGCAAUUUGUUGAUUUUGAUUUGUUUUUGAAACGCAGCAAAGCAACGGAAAACACAUGGCAUAGAAGAGAGUGGCGCUCUCUUGCGCGCUCUGAGAGCACAAGAGCGCAAUGAGCGCGUGGCAAACACAUGGUUUUUGUUGUUGCCAAAACGUAGAAGUAGCGAAAGAAGAAGAAACAGCGCUUACAGUUACCUCGCGUUGUUGUUCUUGAACAGUGGCACAUUUUAAAGAAACAAACGCAAACGUUAAUAAUAUUGUAAUAUGUUACAACUUUAUGGAACUACACAAUAAAACUGCUUUGAAUUGUAAAAUUAGAUAACAAAAGAAUGAAGGUAAACUUUGACGUCACUAUGCGCAUGUUGUUGCUGUGCAGCGCAAACGACGACGACAGCGACAAAUGUGUAGAUCAACAGAUCAGUCACUCAAAAAGCGAAACUAAAAAGUAACCAAAUAAAAAAAUGAAACAAAACAAAAAGAACGUUUCUAAAAAGACAUUUUCCACCGAACAAACACACACACGCACACACAUACAAGCCGCAGGUAUACUACAUAUCUGUAUCUGAGUGUGGAGUAUGUUUGUAUAAUCAUGUGAUACCAAAAUAAAGAAAAAUUUGAAAAUCAAAUAGCAGCGACAGCGGCCAGGGCACUAAAAGUCACAAGCAAAAGUGGAGCAAUAAAGCAAACAAGCCCGACAAAUUUUCUGUUGCCAUGUACAACCCCAGACCACAACAGCACCAUCCCCAUCCCCAUCGACAUCGCCAUACGCAUCCGCACUCCCACGAAACCAUCCCAUCAAAACCGAACGAUCAAACCAUCUUCAUCAUCGCCACUAUCACCAUCAACCCGUCCAAUGUCGCAUGUAGUUUCGAAUCGGAUUCGAAAUAUGCAAAUGCCGAGCACCGAAAUUGAAUGCAAUUAAAAACCACACACAAUAUCACACACAGUUCACAUAGGAAUCGUAUUGAAGAUAUCAGCUACAGUAUCUGUAACAUUGCAGAACUAUACCUUCUGGUUGGAUAUGUCUUUAAGACACUUUUGACCUUGAGUGGAAAAAUCCCAAUGUGUUGUUGGUAAUCCUACCUAACUAACAUUUUGCAAUGCGUGGCAAUUAAAACCAGAGUAGAAAGUAAUCCCUCCACUGGAUUCCCCUUGGGUGGUGAUCCACCCACUCAAGGCUGCCCAGCUGAUUGAUGUCGCAUCAUCGAUGUUAAAUUCAAGCCACCACCGGAAAAUAGAAGAGCCGACUGGGAUUGCGGGCAACCCCUGUAAGCAUACACUUAACUGGCACUUGGGCUGGGCAACCUUAUAACAUAAUUACUGCAUAUCAAACAGCGAUAAGUUGCCCACGCCACUUCACUCCGAAAUCACUCUGGAGUUCAUCUUCCCACCCAUGGAGUUGCUUAGCAACCCUCCUCGUGCUCACCUGGUGUGCAACCCUGAACGAAGUCUAUGUUCGCCAUUCAGGCGCGGUUGUAAUCUUUGAAAAGCGUGUAUCGUGUAAUUG